Long non-coding RNA from Pseudophryne corroboree (corroboree frog), 1209 nucleotides. RefSeq lists it as uncharacterized. Lineage: Eukaryota; Metazoa; Chordata; Amphibia; Anura; Myobatrachidae. The transcript has 3 exons. The record is from RefSeq and is a predicted model, not a curated record.
CUGCUGCUCCUAAGGUUACCUCUGUUUCACUGUACCCUGUGGAGGCUGCCUGAUACCUACUCAUUGUUGAGGGGAGAAAUGGCAUCUCACUACUCAUCUCUAAGGGAGGAGCUGCGUCCCCACUCCCCUCUCCAUAUUCUCACCUAAGAUGUCUGCUCCAGAUGCCACUUUCCCCUAGCAGCUUCGAAGUCAUGUGACCUGCUGCUGGCUCAAGCAGUCUAUAUCAGCUGUAUAUACUAAAUUGAAGAAAUGUCUUUUAAACUCAGGUUGGGUGCCACACAUCCUUAGGCCCCCCCUCCUCCCCCCCGAAUUCUUCCUUGUAAUGCCACACACAUUAUUGGUCACUGCAUGCAGUUUGCCCUUCGUUGACAGUUGAACUGCUCCAUAGCUCUGUCCAUGUUAAGGAAAGCAAAGCUCCCACAAGGUGAAACCGCCUCCAGCACGAAUGCAGUUUCCCAAGUCAAUAAGGAAGUGCUGAGACAAGUACGAAGUCCCACCUGUCCUAUGGCUGCCUAGGUAUUUAAUGGAUAGAAUGGGAAGUCACAGCCUCCAACCACUUAGCGACCUGAUGAAAUAUAGUUCCGUACUAUAGUAUAUGUAAUACUUCCACUUUACUGAGGGGCUAAAUGUAGAGGUUCAGGCAGUCCUCCUUUUCUGGCCGAAAUUGACUGAAAGAAUGUGAGGAGUUGCUCAUCAUAAACCGUGUCACAGGAUCCAGUCUCCUUCUGCCAUUACAUUUUCAACAGCCUGCAGCCAUUAAAUCUUUAUGCUUGGAGAAGAAUCAGGCCUCCAGCAAAUGAAGAGGUAAAACUGCCCAGAGCGAGAAAAAAAUGCUGCUGUUUAUACUUUCCUGUGGAUAUCUACUACUGGCUUCAAUAUUUUGUUAACACAAAUUUCCUGAGAGAGAACAAAAACAUUUCCUCAGUUCUCCAAAAAAGGGCUGUUACCGGUAACCCCUUAAUUACACUAAGUGUUUGAAAUGCCAGUUAACUGCACUAAAGUUUCUCAUUUAGCCAACCCUUUUAAAAUUACAACAAAUGAAUACAAUUACAAGAGACAUGCUUCUAUGACAUUAAAAGCACACAUAAACAUUGUUGGGACAUAAGCCUACAAUAAAUAAUUUAAGAAUUUAUCUUCAAUUUUAAAAACAAGAGCAAGGAACAAAAGGCUGGAUAUAAUGAAGUCCGAGUUCAGUGGCCGUGCGGUAGG